This 89-nucleotide non-coding RNA is filed under the name Pseudomonas baetica. The record is from RNAcentral. Lineage: Bacteria; Pseudomonadati; Pseudomonadota; Gammaproteobacteria; Pseudomonadales; Pseudomonadaceae.
UGUGGGAGCGGGCCUGCUCGCGAAAGCGCUGGAUCAGUCAGCUCAUUUAGAACUGACAGAAUGCAUUCGCGAGCAAGCCCGCUCCCACA